Molecule: RNase P RNA, 374 nt
Filed under: uncultured Ligilactobacillus sp.
Lineage: Bacteria; Bacillati; Bacillota; Bacilli; Lactobacillales; Lactobacillaceae
Description: Bacterial RNase P class B
Rfam family: Bacterial RNase P class B
About the family: Ribonuclease P (RNase P) is a ubiquitous endoribonuclease, found in archaea, bacteria and eukarya as well as chloroplasts and mitochondria.
Source: RNAcentral
UUCGGGUAAUCGCGGGCUGCUGAUGCAGUCUGAGGAAAGUCCAAGCUUGCACAGGCUGCGAUGCCUGUAGUGAUCGUGCUUGCUGAAAAAAUAAGGCAAGGUAUCUAUUUUAUGGAAUAGAUAACGGCAGACAAAAAAGCUAAAGUCUUUGACCACGCUUGAGUAGUCUUGAAAAGUGCCACAGUGACGAAGUAAUAAUGGAAACAUUAUUAGUGGAACGCGGUAAACCCCUCGAGCAGGUAACCCAAAUUUUGGUAGGGGCGCUUCAUGACGGAAAUGAACUAAUCAUGGGGGCGAAUUUUUAUAAUUCGGAGAUAGAUGAUUACCACUGAUUCCAAUACCUGGUUGGAUGACGUACGGAACGUGGCUUAUAG